GGGAAUUAGUUAAUUUAUAAUAUAAGCUUGUCAAGCUUAAGUUAUCUUCGGGAUAUUCUCUG
Molecule: transfer RNA, 62 nt
Filed under: Palinurellus wieneckii
Lineage: Eukaryota; Metazoa; Arthropoda; Malacostraca; Decapoda; Synaxidae
Description: tRNA-Asp
Source: RNAcentral